RNAcentral lists this ribosomal RNA (508 nucleotides) under uncultured bacterium. RNAcentral describes it as "partial 16S ribosomal RNA". It matches the Rfam family "Bacterial small subunit ribosomal RNA", at positions 30 to 523 of the family's 1533-position model. The record is from RNAcentral.
AUUGAACGCUGGCGGCAUGCCUUACACAUGCAAGUCGAACGGCAGCGGGGGAGAAGCUUGCUUUUCCUGCCGGCGAGUGGCGAACGGGUGAGUAAUACAUCGGAACGUGCCCUGUAGUGGGGGAUAACUAGUCGAAAGAUUAGCUAAUACCGCAUACGACCUGAGGGUGAAAGUGGGGGACCGCAAGGCCUCAUGCUGUAGGAGCGGCCGAUGUCUGAUUAGCUAGUUGGUGGGGUAAAGGCCUACCAAGGCGACGAUCAGUAGCUGGUCUGAGAGGACGAUCAGCCACACUGGGACUGAGACACGGCCCAGGCUCCUACGGGAGGCAGCAGUGGGGAAUUUUGGACAAUGGGCGAAAGCCUGAGCCAGCAAUGCCGCGUGUGUGAAGAAGGCCUUCGGGUUGUAAAGCACUUUUGUCCGGAAAGAAAUGGCUCUGGUUAAUACCUGGGGUCGAUGACGGUACCGGAAGAGUAAGGACCGGCUAACUACGUGCCAGCCGCCGCCGUAA